AGCAUUAGGCAGUUAAGUGCCUUUACCUUCUUUUAAGGCAGAAUUCGCUAAUCAAGUAUGUUCAGAAGAAACUUUCCCAUAUAACCCCCUAUGGAAGCGUUUACUGUGAACUCACAGCAUCUGUUAAAAGAUUUGUUGUUGAUGAUGUUGAUAGCACCUCACUUACUGUGCGAAUGAUUCGGAGGCGCUCACAUGCUGCCCACAUUGCCAAUUUUCUGGUGUCAGGUCAAAAUCAUUCUUCUUGCAGGGGGCAUAUCUAAGGUUUCUAAGAGCUCCAGGCAGUGCCACUCAGUACUAACUCUCAUUAUGGAAAUUAGGCAGCAGUAGUAGCUGCUAAUCUGAUAGCAGUUAGACUGUUCCUGACAGCUAUUUUCAUUUGGAACAUGAGAAACAAAGGAAGACAGGAUUUCUGCAAUCAAUCAAUAUAAGACGAGGAUAAUGAGGAUAAAUUGGAGAGAAUAAUCUACAUUUAGUCAAAAUCCUCAGUUUGUGAGAGCUAGUACUAGCUCAAGACUUGAUCACAUCCAAUCAAUAAAGAAAGCUGUGGGAAGUAUGAGCAAAAGUUAUCAGCCCUAUUGAAAGAAGAAGAGACUCUUGGUUUUUCUAAAUCUUUGGGCUAGCCUUGAUACAUGUUCUAAAUUCAGCUCUACAAUCUUUGUACUAGCAUAACACUAUGGCUACAAAUGAUUAAAAUCAGUAGCAUAA
Molecule: non-coding RNA, 705 nt
Organism: Pantherophis guttatus
Lineage: Eukaryota; Metazoa; Chordata; Lepidosauria; Squamata; Colubridae
Source: RefSeq, a predicted model, not a curated record